This 383-nucleotide long non-coding RNA is filed under the name Lathyrus oleraceus (garden pea). Its description in RNAcentral is "Pisum sativum (pea) long non-coding RNA (PSAT_LNC016346)". The record is from RNAcentral. Lineage: Eukaryota; Viridiplantae; Streptophyta; Magnoliopsida; Fabales; Fabaceae.
UUGAUUUUAGUACUUUAAGUUUCAUUCAUUCAAAUUCAUGGUGCAUGUUUCAAAACAAAGCAAUUCAAAUGUGAGAUUUGGUGGGAAAUGCCUUUCUUUUCAUUAAAAUAAAUAAGCCAUGAUUUAAAAAUGUCCAUUACAUCUACACCCUUUUACAAAAAAAGCAAUUUUGACCAAAGUUGACUUUGGUCAACACUUGACUUUUUUGUCAACUUAGACCAAAGUCAACACACUUUUCUAAAGUCUUAACUUUUGGUCUUCAUUCUUCAUUUUCCAUCAUUUAAAAAAAAAGCAAUUUUGACCAAAGUUGACUUUGGUCAACACUUGACUUUUUUGUCAACUUAGACCAAAGUCAACACACUUUUCUAAAGUCUUAACUUUUG